CCUAUUUUAUUUGGGAAUUAAAGAAAUCAAAUUAAAUACAAUAGUUAAAAUGGGAAAGGGAGGUUGUCAUCUUUUUAUUCUAUUGAUUAUUUUCCUUUAUUGAAGACAAUUAAAUAAAAAUAAUUAGGAAAAAGGAAUUGAAUGGGAAACUUACCCAUUCCCAUUAGGCUAGUUACAUCUUUAGGGUUAGAUAAAAAGGGAAGAAAGGAAGAGAAGAGCCAUUUUGUGCUCCUUGGGACCGACGGCUAGAGAGAGAGAGAGGGAGAGAGAGAGAGAGGUUGCGUGAAAGAGAGAGAAGGAGAAGGAGAAAGAAAGAUGAAGAAGGAGGAGAAGAGAGAAAGGAUUCGAAAUCCAUAGGUGCCAACAAAGGAGAAUCAACCUAGUAGGAGUAAUUAUUUUCAAAGAGGAAGCUCGUUGUGAAGUUUGUUCCAUUAUUGCUUUGCUCGGACCUGAGUGUGAUGUGAGGAGUUCCGACGUCAGAGUGUGUAUGGCGGGGGGUAUCCUAUGGAUGAACAAACGAUCAACUUAAACGCUGGAUUUUAAAGAACGAUGUUAUGGACUUCAAUUUUAAAACUAUUAGUGGGACUUAAACUUUAUUUAUUGUAAACGUUGCAUAAGUACUCUUAUUUUUAUUUUAAACUAUUGGGCCCAACUUGCAUGUUUAUCAAGGCCCCACUGGAUUUUUCAUAUGUUAAGUGGCUUUCUUCUAUAAUUUUAUGAGUAUGGAGAUUUUUUACAAAGUAGUAGUUUACGUCGUUUUAACAACCUCGCGGGUGAUGCAUCGCUGGCUGGGUGUUUUUUCUCCCAGGCAGUUCUAGGCG
Humulus lupulus (European hop) is the source of this 821-nucleotide long non-coding RNA. RefSeq lists it as uncharacterized. The transcript has 4 exons. NCBI's taxonomy places the organism in Eukaryota, Viridiplantae, Streptophyta, Magnoliopsida, Rosales, Cannabaceae. The record is from RefSeq and is a predicted model, not a curated record.